AUUUAAGAAAGCAAAUUCCCCAUCAUUGUGUGGGGUGGAAGGAAGAGAACUAUCCAGUGAGCUACGUGACUGCCUAGAGGCGUGGGCAGAGCCCCCCCAGUCUGCCACGCAGACAGAGGCUCCCCAUUGGCUGAAAGUAAGCCUGGGCUUCUAGAACAGACAACUGAGUUCCUUCCAAUUGCCCAGCUGGGCCUGUUUCUCCUUCAGACUGGAUGUUCUGAUGUGGAAAAUUCCAUCCUCUUUGGGAGCUAAGAGGACGCUAGAAAUUCUGUGUCUGGAGAGAAUCCUGGACGAGAGGGGGCUCAGUGAUGGAGGAGGAGAGAAGACCCGAUGGCAGGAGCUCCCGGAGAGAAGAUCCCUCCCCGAAGCAGAGGACCACUGGCAUCCCACGGCCAAGUCUUGACUCGCUCUGGAACAAGCUUUAAGCGAGGUACAGAAGCUCCAUCCAAGUCCAGCAGCAGGACGAAAGUCACGGUCCUGGACGUGGCAUCUCCCGUGUCUGACCCAGCUCGAAGAGCUCCACCGCAUCUGCUUCUCCUGCCUUUGUGGCCCCUGGAACAAGUGGUUCUCUGCCCAUUCUGUCCCCCUAAACCACCAAAGGGUUCGAGGUCUUCACCUGGCUCAGACCAUCUUCCAAGAUGGUUUUCCUGCUAUCACUUCUUGGAGCCACAAAUGACAAUUGGGCGAAAGAUGGCUGGGCAGCCUAGAAAAGGGCUCACACCAGAGGUGUGUCCUCCCCAGACACCCCCCCUGCACCCUGCUUAUCUGGGUACAUACAUGCUUUUUAAUAUCACACUUUGUUAUAGUGAACUUUGGUUUCCAUGAAUAAAAUUCUAGGAUCGGGCUAAUUGACUUCUAAAGUCUUAUCUAACUUUAAAUUUCAAGUUCUUCAGGGAAUCAUAGCAGAGUUGGAAAUGGAAACUGAGUCGCCUGAUAGAGUAUGUUUAACAUGUUAUAUCACAUGUAACAUUCACACACAUAUAUGUAUUUCUGAAAAAAAUGAGUCAUUGAGACAAUGAUUUCCCUUCCUAAGACCCUGGCAAAGAUUCCUCAAUCUUUAUUAGAAAAGAAAGUACUGAGUUUAAUGGAUUCAAACACCAUUUAUCACAUUUCCAUGUAAAGGGAAUAACAUCUUCCCCUGAUUCUGCAUGUUUUAUGUCCGUACAUGUACUGUAAAAUAAAAGAUCCUUGAGGGCAGGCUUUACUGU
Molecule: long non-coding RNA, 1208 nt
Filed under: Monodelphis domestica (gray short-tailed opossum)
Lineage: Eukaryota; Metazoa; Chordata; Mammalia; Didelphimorphia; Didelphidae
Description: lncRNA (ENSMODG00000031862.2)
Source: RNAcentral